This 492-nucleotide ribosomal RNA is filed under the name uncultured bacterium. RNAcentral's name for it is "partial 16S ribosomal RNA". It matches the Rfam family "Bacterial small subunit ribosomal RNA", at positions 29 to 507 of the family's 1533-position model. The record is from RNAcentral.
AGUGAACGCUGGCGGUAGGCCUAACACAUGCAAGUCGAACGGCAGCACAGUAAGAGCUUGCUCUUACGGGUGGCGAGUGGCGGACGGGUGAGGAAUACAUCGGAAUCUACUUUUUCGUGGGGGAUAACGUAGGGAAACUUACGCUAAUACCGCAUACGACCUACGGGUGAAAGCAGGGGAUCUUCGGACCUUGCGCGAUUGAAUGAGCCGAUGUCGGAUUAGCUAGUUGGCGGGGUAAAGGCCCACCAAGGCGACGAUCCGUAGCUGGUCUGAGAGGAUGGUCAGCCACACUGGAACUGAGACACGGUCCAGACUCCUACGGGAGGCAGCAGUGGGGAAUAUUGGACAAUGGGCGCAAGCCUGAUCCAGCCAUACCGCGUGGGUGAAGAAGGCCUUCGGGUUGUAAAGCCCUUUUGUUGGGAAAGAAAAGCAGCAGGUUAAUACCCCGUUGUUCUGACGGUACCCAAAGAAUAAGCACCGGCUAACUUCGUG